GAUCAUGGCUCAGGACGAACGCUGGCGGCGUGCUAACACAUGCAAGUCGAGCGAUGAAGCUUCUCGGAAGUGGAUUAGCGGCGGACGGGUGAGUAACACGUGGGUAACCUGCCUCAUAGAGGGGAAUAGCCUUCCGAAAGGAAGAUUAAUACCGCAUAAGAUUGUAAUAUCGCAUGAUAUAGCAAUUAAAGGAGUAAUCCGCUAUGAGAUGGACCCGCGUCGCAUUAGCUAGUUGGUGAGGUAGCGGCUCACCAAGGCGACGAUGCGUAGCCGACCUGAGAGGGUGAUCGGCCACAUUGGGACUGAGACACGGCCCAGACUCCUACGGGAGGCAGCAGUGGGGAAUAUUGCACAAUGGGGGAAACCCUGAUGCAAGCAACGCCGCGUGAGUGAUGACGGUCUUCGGAUUGUAAAGCUCUGUCUUCAGGGACGAUAAUGACGGUACCUGAGGAGGAAGCCACGGCUAACUACGUGCCAGCCGCCGC
This 485-nucleotide ribosomal RNA is filed under the name uncultured bacterium. Its description in RNAcentral is "bacterial SSU rRNA". It matches the Rfam family "Bacterial small subunit ribosomal RNA", at positions 15 to 518 of the family's 1533-position model. The record is from RNAcentral.